RNAcentral lists this non-coding RNA (78 nucleotides) under Bacillus sp. OV194. Lineage: Bacteria; Bacillati; Bacillota; Bacilli; Caryophanales; Bacillaceae. The record is from RNAcentral.
GAACCUAUUCAGUGAUGGAUAGCUGAAUUACGAGAAGUCAGCAGACGUCAUAGUACCAACCUAACGGUUGGGAAGGAC